GAUCGCGUAGCUCAGUUGGCAGAGCAUUGAGCUGGUGUUCCAAAGGUCCGUAGGUUUGAUUCCCACCGUGGUCA
Paramuricea clavata is the source of this 74-nucleotide non-coding RNA. The record is from the annotation of a GenBank genome assembly. NCBI's taxonomy places the organism in Eukaryota, Metazoa, Cnidaria, Anthozoa, Malacalcyonacea, Plexauridae.